CAUCUUCAAACCCCGGUUCCUGUGAUUCCAUAUGGAGAUGUUUCUCCCUUAUAUGGGAAUAUUAAUGAACGUGUUGGUUUUUGGCUUCCAAGAACUAGUGAUGGGACUGGGACUUACUUUCCAAAGACAAAUUUUUCAAGUUAUUACGAGUCUCAGCCAAGGUUUUGCAAGAAAAAUCGUCUUCCGCUAAGUCCAUACAUCCAAAAUCCCAAAUAUGAAAAGAAGAAUAACCAUAGUGAAAGGG
Molecule: small RNA, 244 nt
Filed under: Vigna angularis var. angularis
Lineage: Eukaryota; Viridiplantae; Streptophyta; Magnoliopsida; Fabales; Fabaceae
Description: Non-protein coding transcript
Source: RNAcentral